GUUGCAUAGAUCUAUGAUCGGUUACGCCCUCAUUGUUAAACAGUUUGUAGUGUGUCUAUUCUCCACGCUAUAGUAAUGCAAGCACACAGAUUCACGGAUAACGAAAAAUGGAACAAAACGUCCUAUUAUGGAAACAAGGAUAUUAUGCAAACAGGAAGAAGAUACUACGGUUAUUUACCAUUGCAUGCAACUAGUUGCCCGCCAAAUUCAAAAUUAUUUUUUAGCGCAAUAAAUUGCUACGUUUAAUUCGCAA
RNAcentral lists this long non-coding RNA (253 nucleotides) under Polistes fuscatus (common paper wasp). RNAcentral's name for it is "uncharacterized LOC122524387". The record is from RNAcentral. Lineage: Eukaryota; Metazoa; Arthropoda; Insecta; Hymenoptera; Vespidae.